RNAcentral lists this ribosomal RNA (497 nucleotides) under uncultured bacterium. RNAcentral describes it as "partial 16S ribosomal RNA". It matches the Rfam family "Bacterial small subunit ribosomal RNA", at positions 28 to 507 of the family's 1533-position model. The record is from RNAcentral.
GAUGAACGCUGGCGGCGUGCCUAAUACAUGCAAGUCGAGCGAACAGACGAGGAGCUUGCUCCUCUGACGUUAGCGGCGGACGGGUGAGUAACACGUGGAUAACCUACCUAUAAGACUGGGAUAACUUCGGGAAACCGGAGCUAAUACCGGAUAAUAUAUUGAACCGCAUGGUUCAAUAGUGAAAGACGGUUUUGCUGUCACUUAUAGAUGGAUCCGCGCCGCAUUAGCUAGUUGGUAAGGUAACGGCUUACCAAGGCAACGAUGCGUAGCCGACCUGAGAGGGUGAUCGGCCACCCUGGAACUGAGACACGGUCCAGACUCCUGCGGGAGGCAGCAGUAGGGAAUCUUCCGCAAUGGGCGAAAGCUUGACGGAGCAACGCCGCGUGAGAGAUGAAGGUCUUCGGAUCGUAAAAAUCUGUUAUUAGGGAAGAACAAAUGUGUAAGUAACUAUGCACGUCUUGACGGUACCUAAUCAGAAAGCCACGGCUAACUACGUG